CCACUUUCUGUUGGCGGAAAAAGCCGCUCGAUGCUCCAUCCGGUGUUACACACACAUACACACACACACACACGCGCGCGCGCGCGCGUGCAAAGUGUCGUCGCGGCCUGCAGACACAUGUCCGGGAGCAGCCGGUCGUCCCGGUUGCCGGUUAUUUCGUUCAAUUACGAGCUGAGCCAGACCGCGGAGGAAAUGUCGUUCGCCGUUCACGCUCCGUACCUCGCGCUCCGCGACGAAGUCGCCGGAAUUUUUGGGAACACUCGCCACCCAGAGCUAGUUGCGACUCGCG
This 289-nucleotide ribosomal RNA is filed under the name Hypoponera parva. Its description in RNAcentral is "partial 28S ribosomal RNA". The record is from RNAcentral. Lineage: Eukaryota; Metazoa; Arthropoda; Insecta; Hymenoptera; Formicidae.